Molecule: long non-coding RNA, 696 nt
Organism: Meriones unguiculatus (Mongolian gerbil)
Lineage: Eukaryota; Metazoa; Chordata; Mammalia; Rodentia; Muridae
Exons: 2
Source: RefSeq, a predicted model, not a curated record
UGUUGCAGCUGGAGAUUUCAGGGUGGUUACAUCAGCAGGGAUGGGGUAACCAGGCUCUCUGUUCUCUGGUUUGGCCCUGGUUAGUCUUAAACUGGAGGGCUGUUGUGCCCUGCCAGCUCAGUGCUGCUCUGCCACCAAGUUAGAAAGUCUGGCUGUAACUGGAGACUGGGUCGCCUGGUGUGUCUAGCUUGUAUGACAUUUCUGCCUGGUUUUGGAGAUGCCUGAAAUGUUUGUGGAGCUCCAGUAAUGCUAAAUUUGUGCUUUAUCUUCUAUGACUGGAUGGGGUAUUUGAUUAUGAGACAGGGAUGUCUGAAUACCCUGGAUUCUUUAAAUAGCACCAAUAAAUAAUUUGUUCACCAAGCUGUCCCUGAAAAGACUUUUCUCUUAGGCUGCUUCCAGUGCCCUACUGGUGCAAAACAGGCAACUUUUCAUAUUUCCUCAGCAAAAUCCACAUAAUACAGACAACGGUAGACAAGUGGUAACAGCUCUUAGCAGCUUGGAAACCAUUUGCUCUUCACUUGUACUUCCAAAUGACAAUGAACCUCACUCAGCACCUGUAUGCCAAAGACAAACGGGUUGAGAAAGAAAUUAAGGAAACAACACCUUUCACAAUAGUCAUAACAAACAUAAAGUAUAUUGAUGUGACUCUAAUCAAACAAGUGAAAGACCUGUAUAAAAAACAAAACAAAACAAAAA